UGUAUAAUGGGUCAGCGACUUAUAUUCUGUAGCAAGGUUAACCGAAUAGGGGAGCCGAAGGGAAACCGAGUCUUAACUGGGCGUUAAGUUGCAGGGUAUAGACCCGAAACCCGGUGAUCUAGCCAUGGGCAGGUUGAAGGUUGGGUAACACUAACUGGAGGACCGAACCGACUAAUGUUGAAAAAUUAGCGGAUGACUUGUGGCUGGGGGUGAAAGGCCAAUCAAACCGGGAGAUAGCUGGUUCUCCCCGAAAGCUAUUUAGGUAGCGCCUCGUGAAUUCAUCUCCGGGGGUAGAGCACUGUUUCGGCAAGGGGGUCAUCCCGACUUACCAACCCGAUGCAAACUGCGAAUACCGGAGAAUGUUAUCACGGGAGACACACGGCGGGUGCUAACGUCCGUCGUGAAGAGGGAAACAACCCAGACCGCCAGCUAAGGUCCCAAAGUCAUGGUUAAGUGGGAAACGAUGUGGGAAGGCCCAGACAGCCAGGAUGUUGGCUUAGAAGCAGCCAUCAUUUAAAGAAAGCGUAAUAGCUCACUGGUCGAGUCGGCCUGCGCGGAAGAUGUAACGGGGCUAAACCAUGCACCGAAGCUGCGGCAGCGACACUAUGUGUUGUUGGGUAGGGGAGCGUUCUGUAAGCCUGUGAAGGUGGCCUGUGAGGGUUGCUGGAGGUAUCAGAAGUGCGAAUGCUGACAUAAGUAACGAUAAAGCGGGUGAAAAGCCCGCUCGCCGGAAGACCAAGGGUUCCUGUCCAACGUUAAUCGGGGCAGGGUGAGUCGACCCCUAAGGCGAGGCCGAAAGGCGUAGUCGAUGGGAAACAGGUUAAUAUUCCUGUACUUGGUGUUACUGCGAAGGGGGGACGGAGAAGGCUAUGUUGGCCGGGCGACGGUUGUCCCGGUUUAAGCGUGUAGGCUGGUUUUCCAGGCAAAUCCGGAAAACCAAGGCUGAGGCGUGAUGACGAGGCACUACGGUGCUGAAGCGACAAAUGCCCUGCUUCCAGGAAAAGCCUCUAAGCAUCAGGUAACAUCAAAUCGUACCCCAAACCGACACAGGUGGUCAGGUAGAGAAUACCAAGGCGCUUGAGAGAACUCGGGUGAAGGAACUAGGCAAAAUGGUGCCGUAACUUCGGGAGAAGGCACGCUGAUAUGUAGGUGAAGCGACUUGCUCGUGGAGCUGAAAUCAGUCGAAGAUACCAGCUGGCUGCAACUGUUUAUUAAAAACACAGCACUGUGCAAACACGAAAGUGGACGUAUACGGUGUGACGCCUGCCCGGUGCCGGAAGGUUAAUUGAUGGGGUUAGCGGCAACGCGAAGCUCUUGAUCGAAGCCCCGGUAAACGGCGGCCGUAACUAUAACGGUCCUAAGGUAGCGAAAUUCCUUGUCGGGUAAGUUCCGACCUGCACGAAUGGCGUAAUGAUGGCCAGGCUGUCUCCACCCGAGACUCAGUGAAAUUGAACUCGCUGUGAAGAUGCAGUGUACCCGCGGCAAGACGGAAAGACCCCGUGAACCUUUACUAUAGCUUGACACUGAACAUUGAGCCUUGAUGUGUAGGAUAGGUGGGAGGCUUUGAAGUGUGGACGCCAGUCUGCAUGGAGCCGACCUUGAAAUACCACCCUU
This 1614-nucleotide ribosomal RNA is filed under the name Escherichia coli. RNAcentral's name for it is "partial 23S ribosomal RNA". It matches the Rfam family "Bacterial large subunit ribosomal RNA", at positions 609 to 2207 of the family's 2925-position model. Lineage: Bacteria; Pseudomonadati; Pseudomonadota; Gammaproteobacteria; Enterobacterales; Enterobacteriaceae. The record is from RNAcentral.